AGAUCCAGGAAGCUAUGAGAGUGCCCUCUGAUGUUUACAGAUGGUGAGUCAACAAAAGAAAGUCAAGAACCUGAACCAGCCCACCAACAACAAUGAAAAGUCAGCAGUUUGCAACCUGGAAGAGGGUCCUCACCAGAACCUGACCAGGCUGGCACACUCAUCUCAGACUUCCAGCCUCCAGAGGCAUUUAACCAAGUUAUUUUUGUAGUGGUGUGAAGCUGAAGUGAACGCAAAUAACAUCCCAUGCGGAAGAACUUCCACAAGAAGAAAUCCAAAGGUUCACUAGGCAUAAUCGAUUUUCCAAUCAAUUAAACUUGAGGUUUUACCAGCUGCAAAAGGGAGGAGGAGACGGAGGGAAGAGUUAAACAGGUAGAAAACUUGGUUCAAGACAGAGCAAGGAAGGCUAGAGAAUGACGAGAGGCUGCAGUAAAAAGCACCUUGUCACACAGUUGAUCGUCGUCUGCAAGUUGGCAUCUUACCCUGGUGGGUUCCUUUUACAUCUUUUUGGCACAGCCUAGGCAAGUCAUGAAGAUUUGUUGUGAUUACUCAAGGCAGAGCUACAGUAAGGGGUGGGGCAAGGGAUAUCGGAUCUAGGAGAAUGCCAGUGCCUGUGUGAGUCUUGCUUGCCCCUGCAUGCCUCGAAAAACUGCAGCUUCUUUUCAAGGGUUCCGAGCAGGAGACCAAGGUGCACAAGUAAAGCCAGAGCUCAUCAU
RNAcentral lists this small RNA (713 nucleotides) under Pongo abelii (Sumatran orangutan). RNAcentral's name for it is "processed transcript". Lineage: Eukaryota; Metazoa; Chordata; Mammalia; Primates; Hominidae. The record is from RNAcentral.